RNAcentral lists this ribosomal RNA (285 nucleotides) under uncultured bacterium. RNAcentral describes it as "partial 16S ribosomal RNA". It matches the Rfam family "Bacterial small subunit ribosomal RNA", at positions 524 to 805 of the family's 1533-position model. The record is from RNAcentral.
UACGUAGGGUGCGAGCGUUAAUCGGAAUUACUGGGCGUAAAGCGUGCGCAGGCGGUUUCGUAAGACAGAUGUGAAAUCCCCGGGCUUAACCUGGGAACUGCGUUUGUGACUGCGAGACUUGAGUGCGGCAGAGGGGGGUGGAAUUCCACGUGUAGCAGUGAAAUGCGUAGAUAUGCGGAGGAACACCGAUGGCGAAGGCAAUCCCCUGGACCUGUGCUGACGCUCAUGCACGAAAGCGUGGGGAGCAAACAGGAUUAGAAACCCUAGUAGUCCCUGAGACUCCAA